Molecule: transfer RNA, 70 nt
Filed under: Flavobacterium sp.
Lineage: Bacteria; Pseudomonadati; Bacteroidota; Flavobacteriia; Flavobacteriales; Flavobacteriaceae
Description: tRNA-Arg
Rfam family: tRNA
About the family: Transfer RNA (tRNA) molecules are approximately 80 nucleotides in length. Their secondary structure includes four short double-helical elements and three loops (D, anti-codon, and T loops).
Source: RNAcentral
GAGGUCCUCAGCUGGAUAGAGCACCUGCCUUCUAAGCAGGCGGUCACAGGUUCGAAUCCUGUCGCGAUCA